UAAUCACUUGUUUACCGGUUGAAGAUAAUAAAACUACCCCUUCUUAUUUUAGAUGAUUCACUUUCAUAAGGUUGGAUACAUUGGCCAUUGUCUUGGGAAGCGUGAUGCUACAUUUCUAAAAACGUGAAAUGUGCUUAAUAUAUGAAAUAUGCAUAGAAUUAUAUAAAAUUUUGAAAAGUUUCAAGUAUUCUUUAAGGUAGAUAAAGUGAACUUCAGGUUUUUCUCACUGAUAGUAAAUCUGGAGCCGA
This 248-nucleotide long non-coding RNA is filed under the name Stegodyphus dumicola. RNAcentral's name for it is "uncharacterized LOC118182753". The record is from RNAcentral. Lineage: Eukaryota; Metazoa; Arthropoda; Arachnida; Araneae; Eresidae.